This 468-nucleotide ribosomal RNA is filed under the name uncultured bacterium. Its description in RNAcentral is "partial 16S ribosomal RNA". It matches the Rfam family "Bacterial small subunit ribosomal RNA", at positions 28 to 507 of the family's 1533-position model. The record is from RNAcentral.
GACGAACGCUGGCGGCGUGCUUAACACAUGCAAGUCGAACGGAAAGGCCCUGCUUUUGUGGGGUGCUCGAGUGGCGAACGGGUGAGUAACACGUGAGUAACCUGCCCUUGACUUUGGGAUAACUUCAGGAAACUGGGGCUAAUACCUGAUAGGAGCUCCUGCUGCAUGGUGGGGGUUGGAAAGUUUCGGCGGUUGGGGAUGGACUCGCGGCUUAUCAGCUUGUUGGUGGGGUAGUGGCUUACCAAGGCUUUGACGGGUAGCCGGCCUGAGAGGGUGACCGGCCACAUUGGGACUGCGAUACGGACCAGACUCCUACGGGAGGCAGCAGUGGGGAAUAUUGCACAAUGGGCGGAAGCCUGAUGCAGCAACGCCGCGUGCGGGAUGACGGCCUUCGGGUUGUAAACCGCUUUCGCCUGUGACGAAGCGUGAGUGACGGUAAUGGGUAAAGAAGCACCGGCUAACUACGUG